Molecule: transfer RNA, 75 nt
Filed under: Rhizobium leguminosarum bv. viciae
Lineage: Bacteria; Pseudomonadati; Pseudomonadota; Alphaproteobacteria; Hyphomicrobiales; Rhizobiaceae
Description: tRNA-Arg
Source: RNAcentral
AGCCCUGCAAAUGCUGGAUUAACCGUCUGCCUUCUAAGCAGGUUGUCGCAGGUUCGAUUCCUGCAGGGGUCGCCA